GGGGAUUUAGCUCAGUGGUAGAGUGCUUGCCUAGCAAGCGCAAGGCCCUGGGUUCGAUCCCCAGCUCCG
Molecule: non-coding RNA, 69 nt
Organism: Rattus norvegicus (Norway rat)
Lineage: Eukaryota; Metazoa; Chordata; Mammalia; Rodentia; Muridae
Source: Rfam